GCGCACCAAGCGCGAAUCCUUCGCAAUGCAGGAAACUGCGACGAGGGAACUCCAAGUGCCUACGCUCAGCGUAGGCUGUUCUCAAGCCUAGAAAGCUUGAGGAGUAAGGGCUGGGUAAGACGGGUGCCAUCUGUGGUAGCAGUCAAUAGAUUCGAUUUGUUACUGCAAGGCAUAAGCCGCCGCGGUAAUACCCCGCAGCCCAAGUGGUGGCCGCUUUUAUGGGCCUAAAGCGUCCGUAGCCGGCCCGGUAAAUGCCUGGGUAAAUCGUGGAGCCCAACUUCACGAAUUCCGGGUAGACUGCCGAGCUCGGGACCGGAAGAGGGAGAGGGUACUUCAGGGGUAGGGGUGAAAAUUUCCUUUCCAUUAACGCUUUUGCGCGAAGCGGAAAGGGUUAAUCAC
RNAcentral lists this ribosomal RNA (399 nucleotides) under uncultured microorganism. Its description in RNAcentral is "bacterial SSU rRNA". It matches the Rfam family "Archaeal small subunit ribosomal RNA", at positions 330 to 683 of the family's 1478-position model. The record is from RNAcentral.